CAGAACAAAUGCUAGGUCUACAGGACUUUUCCUACCCCUUCCGGACCUGCAGUCUUGGGAGCGGACCUGCCACUCCGGCUGGACUCAGCACCGCGCUUCUCACCGCCAGGCAGGAACGCUCCUUCCCAGUCUGAGGAAAUGAUAGACUCCCCACCCGCCGCCAUUUGAGCUGAAGGAGCUGCCCCUAAGUAAAGCGUGGGCUAAUUCCAGCCACUUCUCUGUUAGGCCAAAGGUUUCCCAAGGAGGUAGGUCAGGGAGCAAUACCCCCACUCAUUACAGGUUGGGAGGGUUCGGCCAGCUGGGUAUUUGGACGGUUAUACUGUCCCUUCCUGUCCUCCAUGCCCCGGCGAGAACGCGCCAUCAGCCCUGGAGAUAUCUUAAGCUCCCUAGCUGCAAAUGGGGGCUGGGUGUAGUGAUCGAAAGUUAACUCGGGAAUGGAAUGCCACGCCCCCUUUCCUAUAACUGCAAUUAGAACAAUUGGCACUUUUUUUUUUCCCCCUGUUGUUUUUGGGAGCCGCCUUUCAUUCCAAAGAAUGACAGGUUUCUCACAGAUACAAAAAGUCAGCCAGUCCAGAAACUGCGGAGUCCCUCAAAGGAAUACUGAGUGCUUCCUGGAUACUCGCUGCACCCCCUCCACACACCCGCAGCCACACACACAUCCUGCGAGCUUCAGACCCAGGAAACAAAUUCAGGGUUGGCAGGUAGAAGAAGAUGCAAAAUGCAGUUAGUAUAGUAGAUGUGUUUUAUUUAGCGAUGGCCACAGUCUGCAGCUUCAGCUUCAGUCCCCAUUUUUACCCCCAUUAGCCCAGAUCACCCUGAGUCUUUCCCAUAGGCCCUUUUUAUAUAUGCAAAUCAAAGAAGGCACACUGCCAACAGGUUACAUGGGGGUGGAGGGGAGCAGGACUCCUGCUCAUAAGUUAAUGUUUAUGACCUUGAGUAUAAAAGCUGAAUCAGAGUGUUUCUGGCCUUGACUUACCAUUACAUAGUUGGUUUCUAGCCCUAGCUGCACAUUAGAAACAUAACAGCUUGCCGGAAGUCUCAGCUAGGUAACCUAACUACAGCCAUUUUGGGGCCUAGCCCAACACUGACCUAAAUUAAGUAAAAAUUAGAGCUCUUUCAACCCCAUUUCUGAGGUUUAUAAUAGCCCUAAAGGCCUGAGAUCACAGGAGCACUAGAUGUGAGAUUUGGAGAUGAGUGAUCGAUCACCUUCUUACCUAUUUCAGAUAUGAGUGUACCUUGAACUUCUCUGCAUGUCAAAUAACAAUGACUUCUGUAACUUUCUGUAUCAUAUUACUAUUUUUUUUUUGUAGUGCUGAGCAUUGAACCCAGGGCUGUGUGCAUGUGAGACAAGCACCCUAUCAACUAAGCUAUAUCCCAGCCCCAUAUUACUAAAUUUUGAGCAUAGUCACCAGGGUUUCAAAACUAAAAGUUCAAGUUUUAUCUUUGCAAGUAGAAUGACUGGCAAAAAAAAAAAAAAAAGUGUAAAAUUUUAUUUUACAUGAAUUGAUUAAUUAUUUUUAUACAAUCUUAUAUUUGAAGGGCCUUUAUAAGGUCUUUUUAAAGGUCUUAAAGAUAAUGAAGUGGAGAUGUUAAGGAUUUCUCCAAAGUCACACAGAACUGGAACCUGGCCUUUCUAACUGACCUCACUCAGUGGUGGAGGUCAGAAGCACUGCAUUGCUUCUCUUGCAUUUGGUUUACAUUAGAAAUCUACUACACGAUGCUGGCCACUUCUGGCUUAGCCACUACAGGAUGCUGGCCACUUCUGGCUAACACUGCCUACUGCCACUAGAGCUUACAGACAAGUAUACAAAGCAAGUGUAUAGCACAAGUAUAAUGCACCUGCUGCCACUAGAGUUUGUGGACAAGUGUAUAGGAUCAAGAAUUCAUAUUGUGAUGAAUGAUAAGGAAAUUGAUGGAACUCUUCUAGGAUUAACUGUCAAUAUGGUGCUGUAAGAUGUCACUGAGUUUGACAUCAGAAGGAAAAAGGAUUACUAAAUCUGAUAAGAUUUUGCUUAAUGGAAAGAAUAUAACAAUGUUGGUUCCUGAAGGAGAGGGACCUGAAGGAUGAAUGAUUUUCCUUGACUUAUACUAGAUUCCAUUUUGUUUUAUAAUAGAUUUUUAAAAAUCUUGAGUAUUUUUAAAAUAUAUAUUUUUUAAAUCUUUUAAUGUUUAGGUUCUCUAAGAAUAAUUUUUCCCAUUAAAGGGAAAUACUUUCAAGAUAU
RNAcentral lists this long non-coding RNA (2222 nucleotides) under Marmota monax (woodchuck). Lineage: Eukaryota; Metazoa; Chordata; Mammalia; Rodentia; Sciuridae. The record is from RNAcentral.